This 301-nucleotide ribosomal RNA is filed under the name uncultured bacterium. Its description in RNAcentral is "partial 16S ribosomal RNA". It matches the Rfam family "Bacterial small subunit ribosomal RNA", at positions 509 to 807 of the family's 1533-position model. The record is from RNAcentral.
CAGUCGCCGCGGUAAUACGUAGGUGGCAAGCGUUGUCCGGAAUUAUUGGGCGUAAAGGGCUCGCAGGCGGUUUCUUAAGUCUGAUGUGAAAGCCCCCGGCUCAACCGGGGAGGGUCAUUGGAAACUGGGAAACUUGAGUGCAGAAGAGGAGAGUGGAAUUCCACGUGUAGCAGUGAAAUGCGUAGAGAUGUGGAGGAACACCAGUGGCGAAGGCGACUCUCUGGUCUGUAACUGACGCUGAGGAGCGAAAGCGUGGGGAGCGAACAGGAUUAGAUACCCCGGUAGUCCCUGUCUCUUAUAC